This 460-nucleotide ribosomal RNA is filed under the name uncultured bacterium. RNAcentral's name for it is "partial 16S ribosomal RNA". It matches the Rfam family "Bacterial small subunit ribosomal RNA", at positions 338 to 795 of the family's 1533-position model. The record is from RNAcentral.
CCUACGGGUGGCAGCAGUGAGGAAUAUUGGUCAAUGGACGAGAGUCUGAACCAGCCAAGUAGCGUGAAGGAUGACUGCCCUAUGGGUUGUAAACUUCUUUUAUAUGGGAAUAAAAUGUUCCACGUGUGGGAUUUUGUAUGUACCAUAUGCAUAAGGAUCGGCUAACUCCGUGCCAGCAGCCGCGGUAAUACGGAGGAUCCGAGCGUUAUCCGGAUUUAUUGGGUUUAAAGGGAGCGUAGGUGGAUUGUUAAGUCAGUUGUGAAAGUUUGCGGCUCAACCGUAAAAUUGCAGUUGAAACUGGCAGUCUUGAGUACAGUAGAGGUGGGCGGAAUUCGUGGUGUAGCGGUGAAAUGCUUAGAUAUCACGAAGAACUCCGAUUGCGAAGGCAGUUCACUGGACUGCAACUGACACUGAGGCUCGAAAGUGUGGGUAUCAAACAGGAUUAGAUACCCUUGUAGUC